GGAGGCGUCGCAUAGCGGUCUAGUGCGCACGCUUGGAAAGCGUGUGAGGGGAAACCCUCCGAGAGUUCGAAUCUCUCCGCCUCCGCCA
Molecule: transfer RNA, 88 nt
Filed under: Patescibacteria group bacterium
Lineage: Bacteria
Description: tRNA-Ser
Rfam family: tRNA
About the family: Transfer RNA (tRNA) molecules are approximately 80 nucleotides in length. Their secondary structure includes four short double-helical elements and three loops (D, anti-codon, and T loops).
Source: RNAcentral